RNAcentral lists this ribosomal RNA (465 nucleotides) under Vreelandella stevensii. RNAcentral's name for it is "partial 16S ribosomal RNA". It matches the Rfam family "Bacterial small subunit ribosomal RNA", at positions 338 to 795 of the family's 1533-position model. Lineage: Bacteria; Pseudomonadati; Pseudomonadota; Gammaproteobacteria; Oceanospirillales; Halomonadaceae. The record is from RNAcentral.
CCUACGGGGUGCAGCAGUGGGGAAUAUUGGACAAUGGGCGAAAGCCUGAUCCAGCCAUGCCGCGUGUGUGAAGAAGGCCUUCGGGUUGUAAAGCACUUUCAGUGGGGAAGAAAGCCUUGGGGCUAAUACCCUCGAGGAAGGACAUCACCCACAGAAGAAGCACCGGCUAACUCCGUGCCAGCAGCCGCGGUAAUACGGAGGGUGCGAGCGUUAAUCGGAAUUACUGGGCGUAAAGCGCGCGUAGGCGGUCUGAUAAGCCGGUUGUGAAAGCCCCGGGCUCAACCUGGGAACGGCAUCCGGAACUGUCAGGCUAGAGUGCAGGAGAGGAAGGUAGAAUUCCCGGUGUAGCAGUGAAAUGCGUAGAGAUCGGGAGGAAUACCAGUGGCGAAGGCGGCCUUCUGGACUGACACUGACGCUGAGGUACGAAAGCGUGGGUAGCAAACAGGAUUAGAUACCCGAGUAGUC